CACAGUCUCACGCUAUCACUCUAUCAUCCAGACUGGAGUGCAGUGACACAAUCAUGGCUCACUGCAGCCUCGGCCUCCCAGGCUCAGGUAUCCUCCCGCCUCAGCCUCCCAAGUAGCUGAGACUACAGGAAUGUCCCACCACACCAAGCUAAUUUUUUUUUUAAAAAUUUUACAGAGACGAAGUUUCGCCAUGUUGCCCAGGCUGGUCUCAAACUCCUGGGCUCAAGUGAUCCGCCUGCCGCCCAAAGCGCUGCAAUUACAAGCAUGAGCCACCACGCCCAGCCGUGAAAAAUUAAUUCUUAAAAAAGCCGUGUUUAGCUCAGCCAUCCCCCACUGAAGCGAACUGUGUCAGUGCACUGUCAGAUGCAGCUUUGGAAGACAAUUGCUGUCCCUGCUGGCUUCUUCCCUCACGUGCCUGUGUUUCAAUGCCUGAGGGCUCCUCUGAGCCCACACACAGGACUGGCCAGAAUUGCUGGGAGGUAACACCCCAGGACAGCCUCAACAGAUGAGGGCUAGGAGCUGGUGAGUCCACCCGCCAGCCUCCUCACCGCUGCACAGUCUCUCAGAGGGGCCUUCACAGGACUGCGGCCCAGUUGUCCUCUGAGGUAUCCUGCUCGGCAAUGUGCCCUAUGUGGCUUUUCUCUCUUCCCUGUCUCACUUCCUUACUCUGCCUCCUAGAAUCAUUUCUUAAAUAGAUGAUUUGCCCAAAAUCCUUUGCCUCAGGGUCCACUUUUGGGCUAACCGAACUAAGACAUCUACAAAAUUUUAGAUAGGAAUAGACUUUAAAGGGAUCCUUUGACUUUUUUUUUUUGAAACAGCAUCUCACAUGGAGUCUUGCUGUUGGGAAAAGCUGAGUGUUGGGAGAAGCUGAGGCAGGGCUUGCACGUCUGACAUAAUGUAAAAGAGUCUUGGAACGUGUCCAGGGUCCAUGGUCUAAAACUCCUUGUGGCCUUUGGAACACCAAGCUCUGUGCUAAAGGGUGGAAGGCUGCCCUGGCACAACAUAAUCUAAGCCCAGGGCAUAAAAUCCCUCAUGGCUUGGAUAGACUCCAGGGCUCGUGGCUCUGGAAUGUGUCUAGACUUGCUGGCUCCUUGCUCGUUGCUCUCCCAGGAUCGAUUGUAUCUUGAGUUAAAAGAACCUGCUCUCCAUUAUCUCAAGUAGCAGAGCAAAUGCUAAACCAUCACAGCUGUAAAUCAUGUGCUUAAUGCAACGCACCCUUUUGACCUCCACAUUCUCACCACCUGUUUCUUUGUUGGAUUACCAAUAAAUAGUGUGGGCUCCCAGAGCAUGGGGCCUUUGCAGCCUCCACAAUCGCGAUGGUCCCCUGGUCCCACUCAUCUCUCUCAAACUGUCUUUUCUCAAUCCUUUGACUCCACCGGACUUUGUCACCCCCACGAACUGGUGUUGGGUCUGAUCACCCCAACACUUGCUCUGUUGCCCAGGCUGGAGUGCAGUGGCGCCAUCUGGGCUCACUGCAACCUCCGCCUCCCGGGUUCAAGUGAUUCUCUUGCCUCAGCCUCCCAAGUAGCUGGGAUAACAGGCACCUGCCAAAACACAUGGCUAAUUUUUGCAUUUUUAGUAGAGACAGGGUUUUGCCAUGUUGGCCAGGCUGAUCUCGAAUUCCUGACCUCAAGUGAUCCGCCCACCUCAGCCUCCCAAAGUGCUGGGAUUACAGGCAUGAGCCACUGCGCCCAGCCUCACCUUCAUUAAGUUUCUAAAACAACUUUGUGUUUCUCACCAAUUCUAAGUCUGUCUAUGCCUGCCAGCCAUUGUCCCUGAUAGGAAGUGUAGGGUGUCCAAGAUGACAUUCAAGGCCCAUGUGACUUGAACCCAAUAAUUUACCUUACCGUUGUGCCGAACUCCUAUCCACUCCAAUGGGGAUAGCCCCAGGCUCAAGAGACCAAAGAAGAGACCUCGAGCCAGCAAAUGAGACAUGGGGCUUUACUGGGGCCUUACAUACAGGGAAGAGAGCCCAGUGGUGGUGGGCUGGACAGGAGAACCAUCAAUCACUUACGGAAAGCACAUGGCUUAUGUAUCAUUUUCACUCGGCACCCUCCCUCAACAACCUCCACCUGGCAACCUUCACAUAUUCCCAAAACAAAGGGCUUUGACCCCUGUACAUCCCAGAUCCAUGGGAUAGGCCAGGGCUCAGAUGUUCCUUAGAGAUAAGGAAUGAAUCUUCAGGUUGGCCACCCCUGGAUUCCUUGGCUCAGAACUCCAAACUGCAUUCAGGUGCAUCUGCUAUACAGAGUCAUUCUCAGGGUUUGCUGACGUUAUUGCCAUCAGGUGAGUUUACCAUGCACUUACUAACCUCUGAGCAGUGCCUCCCAUGUUCCCUACAUUCCAGUCACAGCAAAAGUCCUGCUUCCCUGCAUGUACCAUGCACUUUGCAUUUCAGCGGCUCUCUGCCCCCUCUGCCUGCAGUGAGUGAGGCCUCCAUGGCAAAGUCCUUCCUUCAGCUGAAAUGGUUUUCAAAGUUCCCCGAGAGCCCCUAUCCCAGACAGAAUUAAUCACUCCUCCUCUGAGCUCCCAUAACUCUUCCCACACGCCUCUACUCUAGUGUAUACAUUCUAGUAUAGUUAUUGUGAACAUAUAUUAGGGCCUACGACAUGAGCAAUAUUUUAUUCAUCUUAAAUAGGAUAGGGCAGAAUACCUAGCCCAAGACUUGGCGGGGCACGGUGGCUCACGCCUGUAAUCCCAGUACUGGGAGGCCAAGGCGGGCAAAUCACUUGAGCUCAGGAGUUUGAGACCAGCCUGGGCAACAUGGUGAAACCCCAUCUCUACCAAAAAUCCAAAAAUUAUCCGGGUGUGGUGGCACGUGUCUGUGGUCCCACCUACUCAGGAGGCUGAGGUGGGAGGAUCACUUGAGCCUGGAAGGCAGAGGUUGCAGUGAGCUGAGAUCACACCACUGCACUCCAGUCUAGACAACAGAGCAAGACUCUCAAAAAACAAAAACAAAAACAAAAACAAAACUAGCCCUUGAUUGGGGUGUGGAAGCGAGUAGUUCAUUUGACACAAGUAUGAAAUUAGCUGUAUGGAGUGUCUCAAUAGUUACCCCAGGUCUUUGGGAGUCUGGUAACAGUCUUCAUCAAAAUGGAAGACUUGUGUUUAUUUUAAAAUGUCAUGUAUAGCUGCUGUCUCUCUCAUAAUGCAUUAAUGUUAAUGAAAUAAUGUUAUUGGCUUUGCCCAAAUUUUUAAGUAAAAUGGAUAUGCCUUAAAAACCUAUCUUCUUUUUUCUGUGGCUUCUUAUGCCCUCUGGCCUGCCAAUAAUCCCGUGGUAGAGGUACCCAGGCUGAGAUGCAGGGAACUAGAGUGUUCCUCUUCCUGACCCUGGAGCUAAGGGCAUCAUUUGGUUGGCUUUAACUAAGAGUCCCAGGAGAACCCUCCUGAUUGCUUGAGCCCAGGAGUUCGAGAUCAG
Molecule: long non-coding RNA, 3418 nt
Filed under: Homo sapiens (human)
Lineage: Eukaryota; Metazoa; Chordata; Mammalia; Primates; Hominidae
Description: HSALNT0051412
Source: RNAcentral